RNAcentral lists this ribosomal RNA (253 nucleotides) under uncultured bacterium. RNAcentral describes it as "partial 16S ribosomal RNA". It matches the Rfam family "Bacterial small subunit ribosomal RNA", at positions 524 to 776 of the family's 1533-position model. The record is from RNAcentral.
GACAGAGGGUGCAAACGUUGUUCGGAUUUACUGGGCGUAAAGCGCGUGUAGGCGGCUUUGCAAGUCGGAUGUGAAAGCCCACGGCUCAACCGUGGAAGUGCAUCCGAAACUGCAUGGCUUGAGUCUCGGAGAGGAAGGUGGAAUGCUUGGUGUAGAGGUGAAAUUCGUAGAUAUCAAGCGGAACACCGGUGGCGAAGGCGGCCUUCUGGACGAUGACUGACGCUGAGACGCGGAAGCGUGGGGAGCAAACAGG